Non-coding RNA from Pocillopora verrucosa, 1260 nucleotides. The record is from RefSeq and is a predicted model, not a curated record. Lineage: Eukaryota; Metazoa; Cnidaria; Anthozoa; Scleractinia; Pocilloporidae.
AUGUCAAAUAAACCAUUUCAGUUAUGCAGAUCGUAGAUCAGGUGACAAUAUGCAAACAGGAAAUUGAUUGUGCCAAGAUGAAUUCAAGUUGUCUUACUCGGUGAUAGACAGCAAACAUUAGACAGCGCUUGUGACAUUUUCGUCACAGAAAACCCCAGCCCAUCGUCAAGCAGCGCUCGGGAUUCAUAGGGGUUGUAUUUGAAGAUUAAGCUCACUAAUAUCUGUUCUACAAUAAAGUGGUGCCGGAUGCAUGCGUAAGAGUUAGCUUUGUCAACGCUUAAUUCACCUUUUAGGCUUUAGAUUUCACUUGAUGUAAACAAACCGCGAAAGUUCGGACAUUGAGUCCACCACCCUCUACCCGUGUACAAACUUCCGCUUCGGCAUUUUGUUGUUAAUAAUUUCCAAUGUCGUGAAGCGUUUCGGUGCUCAAAAUUGACUUCUUUCUUGUCUAAUAUGUUUGAUUAUUUAUCAAGCGAGUUGAUAUUUCGCUACCGCUUAAGAUGAUUCGAAGAAUGUGGCAGGAAGUGUUACAACAUGAAAUGAUCAAACUGGUUCUGCGUACGUACAGUGAUGUAUUUGAUCAGGUAUUUUCAGGGCGUUAAACGCUUAGUUUGUCAAAUAAAACCAAGUCUGAUGGGAAAUUAGUGCUCACGAAUCGCUGUAAUUAAUCUUUGUACUUGUGCAUGUGUAUAUCUUACCAAUUCCGAUAAAAACUUAUUGAUUGACGUUAAGAUCACAUGAUCCAACACGUGACCUUCGUGGUCAACAUUAUGGUCUUACGAUGAAAGAUCGUACAGAAAACCAUCGUCCUCGAAAGUUUCAGCUCAAUCGGCUGUAAUUUUGCGGAGAUAUAGCCGUUUAUUUUCGUAACGCAAUUUACCCUCCUGACCCAGGCCUUAAACUAAUUGAGUUCUGGGUACUAAAUAAAUGAGCUAUAGAGGCGCACCAUACAAAGACAUCAUCAAUUAUAAAAAUCCUGUUGGAGGCUCUAAAGGAAGCUUAAAACCUGGAGACGUCUCCGUUACCAAUCUACAAAGUUUAGCAGGAUAAUACAGGUACACAAGGCACCCACAAAGGUGGAAGAGUAGAAGACCAUAGAAUAAUGGUUACUGGGAAAUUGUACUUACCACAAUGAUAUACUAAUGUAUAUUCAAGCAAUACACUACAUAUAUAGAACUGAUUACAUAAUGUAUUUAAUAACUGUACACAUUUCAUAUGCUCCUCCCAUUUGUUGGCAACAGUAGUUAGGAUUUUUAGGAA